Molecule: ribosomal RNA, 1045 nt
Filed under: gut metagenome
Description: bacterial SSU rRNA
Rfam family: Bacterial small subunit ribosomal RNA
Source: RNAcentral
AGAGUUUGAUCCUGGCUCAGGAUAAACGCUGGCGGCGCACAUAAGACAUGCAAGUCGAACGAACUUAAUCGUUAGUUUACUAAUGAAGCGGUUAGUGGCGGACUGGUGAGUAACACGUAAGCAACCUGCCUAUUAGAGGGGAACAACAGUUAGAAAUGACUGCUAAUACCGCAUAUGCCAUAAGUAUCGCAUGAUACAAGUGGGAAAGGAGCAAUCCGCUAAUAGAUGGGCUUGCGUCUGAUUAGAUAGUUGGUGGGGUAACGGCCUACCAAGUCGACGAUCAGUAGCCGAGUUGAGAGACUCUACGGCCACAUUGGGACUGAGAUACGGCCCAGACUCCUACGGGAGGCAGCAGUCGGGAAUAUUGCGCAAUGGAGGAAACUCUGACGCAGUGACGCCGCGUGCAGGAAGAAGGUUUUCGGAUUGUAAACUGCUUUAGACAGGGAAGAAAAAGACAGUACCUGUAGAAUAAGCUCCGGCUAACUACGUGCCAGCAGCCGCGGUAAUACGUAGGGAGCAAGCGUUAUCCGGAUUUAUUGGGUGUAAAGGGUGCGUAGACGGGAAAAUAAGUUAGUUGUGAAAUCCCCAUGCUUAACAUGGGAACUGCAACUAAAACUGUUUUUCUUGAGUGCUGGAGAGGAAAGUGGAAUUCCUAGUGUAGCGGUGAAAUGCGUAGAUAUUAGGAGGAACACCAGUGGCGAAGGCGACUUUCUGGACAGUAACUGACGUUGAGGCACGAAAGUGUGGGGAGCAAACAGGAUUAGAUACCCUGGUAGUCCACACCGUAAACGAUGGAUACUAGGUGUAGGGUGUGAUAAACGCUCUGUGCCGUCGCAAACGCAGUAAGUAUCCCACCUGGGGAGUACGGCCGCAAGGUUGAAACUCAAAGGAAUUGACGGGGGCCCGCACAAGCAGUGGAGUAUGUGGUUUAAUUCGACGCAACGCGAAGAACCUUACCAGGGCUUGACAUAUACAGGAAUAUGCUAGAGAUAGUAUAGCUCUUCGGAGUCUGUAUACAGGUGGUGCAUGGUUGUCGUCAGCUCGU